RNAcentral lists this unclassified non-coding RNA (204 nucleotides) under Hevea brasiliensis (rubber tree). The record is from RNAcentral. Lineage: Eukaryota; Viridiplantae; Streptophyta; Magnoliopsida; Malpighiales; Euphorbiaceae.
AGAGCAUCAAGAAAAUUUGGUAAAAUUCAUUGUGAACCAACCCAGUUGUGAACUUGCUUUGUAACUUUUGACUGGUGGGAGAAUAUUUUAUUUUUUGUCUUUUAAUUCGUUUCUCUUCAACCACAUAGACCAACCAGUCAAAGGCACUGCCAGGCUGCCCAUCUAUGACUACCGGCAGGCAUAAUGUAAGGAACAUUGGUUCUG